GCCCGCCUAGCUCAAUCGGAUAGAGCGUCAGACUCUUAAUAGGCAAUGGCAUCUGAAGGCUGCGAGUUCGACCCUCGCGGUGGGCU
RNAcentral lists this transfer RNA (86 nucleotides) under Asterophora parasitica. It matches the Rfam family "tRNA". From Rfam's summary of the family: Transfer RNA (tRNA) molecules are approximately 80 nucleotides in length. Their secondary structure includes four short double-helical elements and three loops (D, anti-codon, and T loops). Further hydrogen bonds mediate the characteristic L-shaped molecular structure. tRNAs have two regions of fundamental functional importance: the anti-codon, which is responsible for specific mRNA codon recognition, and the 3' end, to which the tRNAs corresponding amino acid is attached (by aminoacyl-tRNA synthetases). tRNAs cope with the degeneracy of the genetic code in two manners: having more than one tRNA (with a specific anti-codon) for a particular amino acid; and 'wobble' base-pairing, i.e. permitting non-standard base-pairing at the 3rd anti-codon position. The record is from Rfam by way of RNAcentral. Lineage: Eukaryota; Fungi; Basidiomycota; Agaricomycetes; Agaricales; Lyophyllaceae.